Amphimedon queenslandica is the source of this 1087-nucleotide RNA transcript. RefSeq lists it as uncharacterized. The transcript has 6 exons. The record is from RefSeq and is a predicted model, not a curated record. NCBI's taxonomy places the organism in Eukaryota, Metazoa, Porifera, Demospongiae, Haplosclerida, Niphatidae.
UCUGAAGCAAAGAAAAAAUUUGAAUCAAAGCUAGAUGAGUAUGAAUCAAAGCUGUUUAUAAUGGAAAAAGAAUAUAAAGCCAAUUUGUCUGGAAUGAAGGAAGAGUAUGAAGCAAAAAUUUUGGCUACAACAGAAAAUUACGAGGAACAAUUAUCUAUCAGUCGUGAAGAAUGUGAGAUAAGAGUAGCAGAAGUAAUGGAGGAGCUUACCUUGAAAUCACGUCAAGCACUCGAAAAUGCCAUUGUAUCAAAAAAUGAAAUAUUAUCAUCCUUUCAGUCUCUACCAAUAGCCAGCAUUCCUUCAUAUAAAGCUCAAAAUGAAAUGAUUCAAGCGCAUUACCUUUCACAACGAGGAAACAUGAAGAAAGGAGACAGAUGGUAUCUUGUUGAUGUGGAAUGGUUCAGGCAGUGAAAGAAAUACACUGGAUUUGAUUCAUGGGAUCAAAAUAGUGCUGGACAAGCAAGUGCUCAUCCAGGACCAAUUGUUAAUGGCACUUUGUUUAAAGGCAAUGUAUCUGAAACAUUAAAGGAUCAUCUAAUUGAAGAGCAACACUAUGCACUACUACCUGAGCCUGCAUGGAAUCUUUUACUGAGUUGGUAUGGACUAUCAGUAGGAUCAAGACCUAUUAUUAGAACUGUAGUAGAGUAUGGUUCAUGUACCAAGCACUUGAAUGUUGAAGUUUACUUGAUUGAUUUACAAUUGUAUUUACAUCCUAACACUAAUAAUAUUAAAAGGCAUUCAUUUAGUCGAGCAGAUGCAGUCAGCUGUAUAAUGACAGUAAUAAAGGAACAGUUCAAUAUUCCUGAUACUACUGAAUGUAGACUGUGGCAGCAUUACAUGUCAGGAAAUUAUGAAUUAUUAACUGAUGUUGAACAAGCAAUAUCAGAUGCUGGUAUAUAUGGGUCACAAAAGAUAGCAUUGGAAAUAAGAAAUCCAGAUGGCACAUGGCCAAAAAGCAAAACUAAAUGAUUUGGAAUAUUGUGCUUUAUCUUUGCUCAAAUCAUAGUUAGAAUUUUAUUUUUUAAUAAGUACUGAACUAUAACUAACUAAAUUUAUUUUUGGUUAACAGAUUUAUGUUCAUAAGUUU